This 465-nucleotide ribosomal RNA is filed under the name uncultured bacterium. RNAcentral's name for it is "partial 16S ribosomal RNA". It matches the Rfam family "Bacterial small subunit ribosomal RNA", at positions 338 to 795 of the family's 1533-position model. The record is from RNAcentral.
CCUACGGGAGGCAGCAGUAGGGAAUCUUCCACAAUGGGCGAAAGCCUGAUGGAGCAACGCCGCGUGGGUGAAGAAGGUCUUCGGAUCGUAAAACCCUGUUGUUAGAGAAGAAAGUGCGUGUGAGUAACUGUUCACGUUUCGACGGUAUCUAACCAGAAAGCCACGGCUAACUACGUGCCAGCAGCCGCGGCAAUACGUAGGGGGCAAGCGUUAUCCGGAUUUAUUGGGCGUAAAGGGAGCGUAGGCGGUCUGUUAAGUCUGCUGUGAAAGCCGUCGGCUGAACCGGAGUAGUGCAUUGGAAACUGGGAGGCUUGAGUGCAGAAGAGGAGAGUGGAACUCCAUGUGUAGCGGUGAAAUGCGUAGAUAUAUGGAAGAACACCAGUGGCGAAGGCAGCUCUCUGGUCUGUAACUGACGCUGAGGUUCGAAAGCGUGGGUAGCAAACAGGAUUAGAUACCCCUGUAGUC